Molecule: ribosomal RNA, 207 nt
Filed under: uncultured bacterium
Lineage: Bacteria
Description: partial 16S ribosomal RNA
Rfam family: Bacterial small subunit ribosomal RNA
Source: RNAcentral
CAUGUAGGCGGAUUAAUAAGUUUGAAGUGAAAUCCUAUAGCUUAACUAUAGAACUGCUUUGAAAACUGUUAAUCUAGAAUGUGGGAGAGGUAGAUGGAAUUUCUGGUGUAGUGGUAAAAUCCGUAGAGAUCAGAAGGAAUACCGAUUGCGAAGGCGAUCUACUGGAACAUUAUUGACGCUGAGAUGCGAAAGCGUGGGGAGCAAACA